GGCGGUCCGCACGGGAGCCCGGAGGGACCGGGCUGAGAGGGGGGCUGGACGCCCCCGACCGUCGAACCUGAUCCGGGUCAUGCCGGCGCAGGGAGCGUGAUGGGGUGUCUU
This 111-nucleotide non-coding RNA is filed under the name Streptoalloteichus hindustanus. RNAcentral describes it as "TPP sequence". It matches the Rfam family "TPP riboswitch aptamer (THI element)". Rfam says of the family: Vitamin B(1) in its active form thiamin pyrophosphate (TPP) is an essential coenzyme that is synthesised by coupling of pyrimidine and thiazole moieties in bacteria. Lineage: Bacteria; Bacillati; Actinomycetota; Actinomycetes; Pseudonocardiales; Pseudonocardiaceae. The record is from Rfam by way of RNAcentral.